CCAACGGCUCUUUUAAGAGCCACCCAAAUCUUUUCUGAAAAGAGCUG
This is a non-coding RNA of Pterocles gutturalis (yellow-throated sandgrouse), 47 nucleotides long. The record is from Rfam. NCBI's taxonomy places the organism in Eukaryota, Metazoa, Chordata, Aves, Pterocliformes, Pteroclidae.